Molecule: microRNA precursor, 61 nt
Organism: Caenorhabditis elegans
Lineage: Eukaryota; Metazoa; Nematoda; Chromadorea; Rhabditida; Rhabditidae
Source: Ensembl
UGAACAUCAUUCAGGGCAUUACAAUUUUGUCUUUUUGUAAAUACCCCAACUGAUAUUCGAU